GACGAACGCUGGCGGCGUGCUUAACACAUGCAAGUCGAACGGUAAGGCCCUUCGGGGUACACGAGUGGCGAACGGGUGAGUAACACGUGGGUGGUCUGCCCUGCACUUCGGGAUAAGCCUGGGAAACUGGGUCUAAUACCGGAUAGGACUCCGGACUGCAUGGUCUGGGGUGGAAAGCUUUUGCGGUGUGGGAUGGGCCCGCGGCCUAUCAGCUUGGUGGUGGGGUGAUGGCCUACCAAGGCGACGACGGGUAGCCGGCCUGAGAGGGUGACCGGCCACACUGGGACGGAGAUACGGCCCAGACUCCUACGGGAGGCAGCAGUGGGGAAUAUUGCACAAUGGGCGCAAGCCUGAUGCAGCGACGCCGCGUGAGGGAUGACGGCCUUCGGGUUGUAAACCUCUUUCAGCACAGACGAAGCGCAAGUGACGGUAUGUGCAGAAGAAGGACCGGCCAACUACGUGCCAGCCGCCGCCGUAA
Molecule: ribosomal RNA, 478 nt
Filed under: uncultured bacterium
Lineage: Bacteria
Description: partial 16S ribosomal RNA
Rfam family: Bacterial small subunit ribosomal RNA
Source: RNAcentral